Vigna umbellata (rice bean) is the source of this 767-nucleotide non-coding RNA. NCBI's taxonomy places the organism in Eukaryota, Viridiplantae, Streptophyta, Magnoliopsida, Fabales, Fabaceae. The record is from RefSeq and is a predicted model, not a curated record.
AGGCUUUCGCUGCCUCUCCAUCAUGGAAGGCUCUCAUUGGCUCUCCAUCAUCUCGUUGAACAACAGUUCAAGCCCUAAGCACUUUCCUUUACCUCUCAGCCUCUCACUUGCAUCUUUCACCCUCAACUGCUAGGGUUUCUUCGUAUUUUCAUCUUCUCACCUUUUGACCGAUUGUUUUGCCUUUUCCUUCAUUUUUCACCGAUUGAAAUCGGUUCCCUCAGUGUUUGUCUAGGUGGGCUUUGAGAUGAUUGAUGCAUUUGCUGAGUCGUAGGGGAUUCCUAUGAACACUUCCUAUUCCAAAGCCAUUUUCGGAAAAGUUGGUUUGUUGCAGGUUUUGUUGGUGAAGUUCUUGUCUUCCUUGCAAAGCCUCCUCGGACUUACAUGAAUCUGAGUGGUGAAUUAGUCAAUUGCAGCAGAAAACAAUUUCCCAUCCACCUUGCAGUGCAUUUUUGGUUGCAUUUAUGAUUUGCUUUAUGUUUUCUCGAAUCUGUCAAGGAAUCUAAAUUUCAUUGAGCAUACACACAUUGCUGGUUGGAAAUUGAAUCAAAGAGCAAGGCCCAUCAUUAUUGAUCAUGCCCUUUACUUAUCAAAGAAAUCUGAUUUAGCAUUGACCACUCAACGAAGAACCCUUCCCACGUCUUUUAAACUGUUUAGUGGUAUGUCCCUAUCCCAUUAUUUAUAACAUUUAAAAAACCUAUUUAGAGACAGUGAGUUCUGAGCUACUUGUUAUUUUUUAUUGGAACUGUUGAUUAAUAGUUGUUUAACUC